AAAAAGAUGGCAUGCAAAGGCAUUUUACUUUGAUGCAUUGGGGGACACAGCACCAUGGGUAUAUGCCCAGCUGCCACUAGGAGGCUGCCACUAGAAGUAAAACGUGUUGACUCCUCCUAUCUGGGCUAUACCCACUGCAGAUGCAGGAGCAAA
Molecule: long non-coding RNA, 153 nt
Organism: Bufo bufo (common toad)
Lineage: Eukaryota; Metazoa; Chordata; Amphibia; Anura; Bufonidae
Exons: 4
Source: RefSeq, a predicted model, not a curated record